RNAcentral lists this ribosomal RNA (1413 nucleotides) under Escherichia coli. Its description in RNAcentral is "partial 23S ribosomal RNA". It matches the Rfam family "Bacterial large subunit ribosomal RNA", at positions 332 to 1751 of the family's 2925-position model. The record is from RNAcentral. Lineage: Bacteria; Pseudomonadati; Pseudomonadota; Gammaproteobacteria; Enterobacterales; Enterobacteriaceae.
GUGGAAGCGUCUGGAAAGGCGUGCGAUACAGGGUGACAGCCCCGUACACAAAAAUGCACAUACUGUGAGCUCGAUGAGUAGGGCGGGACACGUGGUAUCCUGUCUGAAUAUGGGGGGACCAUCCUCCAAGGCUAAAUACUCCUGACUGACCGAUAGUGAACCAGUACCGUGAGGGAAAGGCGAAAAGAACCCCGGCGAGGGGAGUGAAAAAGAACCUGAAACCGUGUACGUACAAGCAGUGGGAGCCUCUUAAUGGGGUGACUGCGUACCUUUUGUAUAAUGGGUCAGCGACUUAUAUUCUGUAGCAAGGUUAACCGAAUAGGGGAGCCGAAGGGAAACCGAGUCUUAACUGGGCGUUAAGUUGCAGGGUAUAGACCCGAAACCCGGUGAUCUAGCCAUGGGCAGGUUGAAGGUUGGGUAACACUAACUGGAGGACCGAACCGACUAAUGUUGAAAAAUUAGCGGAUGACUUGUGGCUGGGGGUGAAAGGCCAAUCAAACCGGGAGAUAGCUGGUUCUCCCCGAAAGCUAUUUAGGUAGCGCCUCGUGAAUUCAUCUCCGGGGGUAGAGCACUGUUUCGGCAAGGGGGUCAUCCCGACUUACCAACCCGAUGCAAACUGCGAAUACCGGAGAAUGUUAUCACGGGAGACACACGGCGGGUGCUAACGUCCGUCGUGAAGAGGGAAACAACCCAGACCGCCAGCUAAGGUCCCAAAGUCAUGGUUAAGUGGGAAACGAUGUGGGAAGGCCCAGACAGCCAGGAUGUUGGCUUAGAAGCAGCCAUCAUUUAAAGAAAGCGUAAUAGCUCACUGGUCGAGUCGGCCUGCGCGGAAGAUGUAACGGGGCUAAACCAUGCACCGAAGCUGCGGCAGCGACGUUUAUGCGUUGUUGGGUAGGGGAGCGUUCUGUAAGCCUGCGAAGGUGUACUGUGAGGUAUGCUGGAGGUAUCAGAAGUGCGAAUGCUGACAUAAGUAACGAUAAAGCGGGUGAAAAGCCCGCUCGCCGGAAGACCAAGGGUUCCUGUCCAACGUUAAUCGGGGCAGGGUGAGUCGACCCCUAAGGCGAGGCCGAAAGGCGUAGUCGAUGGGAAACAGGUUAAUAUUCCUGUACUUGGUGUUACUGCGAAGGGGGGACGGAGAAGGCUAUGUUGGCCGGGCGACGGUUGUCCCGGUUUAAGCGUGUAGGCUGGUUUUCCAGGCAAAUCCGGAAAAUCAAGGCUGAGGCGUGAUGACGAGGCACUACGGUGCUGAAGCAACAAAUGCCCUGCUUCCAGGAAAAGCCUCUAAGCAUCAGGUAACAUCAAAUCGUACCCCAAACCGACACAGGUGGUCAGGUAGAGAAUACCAAGGCGCUUGAGAGAACUCGGGUGAAGGAACUAGGCAAAAUGGUGCCGUAACUUCGGGAGAAGGCACGC